Molecule: long non-coding RNA, 2585 nt
Organism: Cyprinus carpio carpio
Lineage: Eukaryota; Metazoa; Chordata; Actinopteri; Cypriniformes; Cyprinidae
Source: Ensembl
AGUAGAAGCACCCUUUUGAUCUAACACAGCCAUGAGUCUUUUUGGGAAAGAUGCAACAAGUUUUUCACACCUGGAUUUGGGGAUCCUCUGCCAUUCCUCCUUGCAAAUCCUCUCCAGUUCUGUCAGGUUGGAUGGUAAACGUUGGUGGACAGCCAUUUUCAGGUCUCUCCAGAGAUGCUCAAUUGGGUUUAAGUCAGGGCUCUGGCUGGGCCAUUCAAGAACAGUCACAGAGUUGUUGUGAAGCCACUCACUUUCUACAACUUUCUCCCAUCUCCCGACUGCAUCUCUGGAGCUCAGCCACAGUGAUCUUUGGGUUCUUCUUUACCUCUCUCACCAAGGCUCUUCUCCCCCGAUAGCUCAGUUUGGCCAGACGGCCAGCUCUAGCAAGGGUUCUGGUCGUCCCAAAUGUCUUCCAUUUAAGGAUUAUGGAGGCCACUGUGCUCUUAGGAACCUUAAGUGCAGCAGAAAUGUUUUUGUAACCUUGGCCAGAUCUGUGCCUUGCCACAAUUCUGUCUCUGAGCUCUUCAGGCAGUUCCUUUGACCUCAUGAUUCUCAUUUGCUCUGACAUGCACUGUGAGCUGUAAGGUCUUAUAUAGACAUGUGUGUGGCUUUCCAAAUCAAGUCCAAUCAGUAUAAUCAAACACAGCUGGACUCAAAUGACGGUGUAGAACCAUCUCAAGGAUGAUCAGAAGAAAUGGACAGCACCUGAGUUAAAUAUAUGAGUGUCACAGCAAAGGGUCUGAAUACUUAGGACCAUGUGAUAUUUCAAAAUGUCAACAAUUCUGUAUUUUUCUGUCAAUAUGGGGUGCUGUGUGUACAUUAAUGAGGAAAAAAUGAACUUAAAUGAUUUUAGCAAAUGGCUGCAAUAUAACAAAGAGUGAAAAAUUUAAGGGGGUCUGAAUACUUUUCAUACCCAAUGUAUUUAACAAUGUUAACUCACUCACUCAUAAUAGUCUAUUUAGAAUUGCAUUCUAUUUCUUUAGUCAUAGUGAAAUGAUACUUUGAAGCUAAACUACCAAAUCAUUGUCUUUAUGAAUGAGUCAUUGACUGAUUCAGUAGAACGAUUCCCCGAAAAUAAUUGCACACCUUAGAACAUUCGUUAGUCAAUUAGAUUCAAACAUUCAACGGCCCCGUAGUAUAAAUGCCAAUAAAGAACCUUCGUUGUUUAGAGUGUUUUAAAGGGUUACUCCGUCGCAAAAUGAAAAUUUUGUCAUUAAUCACUUACCCCCAUGUCGUUCCAAACCCGCAAAAGCUUCGUUCGUCUUCGGAACACAAUUUAAGAUAUUUUGGAUGAAUACUGGGAUGCUUGUGACUGUCCCAUAGACUGCCAAGUAAAUAACAGUGUCAAGGUCCAGGAAAGUAUGAAAGACAUCAGAAUAGUCCAUCUGUCAUCAGUGAUUAAACUGUAACGUUAUGAAGCAACGAGAAUACUUUUUGUACACGAAGAAAACAAAAAUAACGACUUUAUUCAACAGUUCCUCUCCUCUGUGUCUCUCCAAAUCACCGUAGUGCCAUUUUGACAAAUCUGAGCAGUACGCAGGCGGCGUACGCUCUUCUGUGUCAGCAGCGCUGCACUGAUGCGCUGUUUUCUUUCAAACCAAAGCGUAAAUACACAUAAAAAAUGUGUCAUUGUGUCAUGGCUGACACAGAAGAGAGUACGCCAUCUGCGUACUGCUCAGAUUUGUCAAAAUGGCACUACGGUGAUUUGGAGAGACACAGAGGAGAGGAAUUGUUGAAUAAAGUCGUUAUUUUGUUUUCUUCGUGUACAAAAAGUAUUGUUGUCGCUUCAUAACGUUACGGUUGAAUCACUGAUGGCAGAUGGACUAUUCUGACGAUUCUUUUCAUAUUUUCCUGGACUUGAUUCUGAAAAGUUGGAUAAAGGGCCACAGCUACGGUGUGUAGAUGUUAGAAAAUAAGGUGCAGGUCUCUGGUAGAAGUCUGUACUGUGAUAAUAGCUCUCUCUUUUGCCUUGCACUCCCAUUUUCUGCUUUCUUCUCAGAAUCUCCAGCCCUCUGUCAAACUCCAUUCAGGUUUCCUUCCACUUCAGCCUUCCUCCUCCUGCAGAGGAUUUAUUUUUUUAUUUUUUUUGCAGUCAUGCUGCACUGUAUUUUUCUCAAAUCCUCCAUGACUGUCUUUCCAAAAUACAUGAAUAACAGUCACUAGCUACUUUAGCAGUUUUAAUAACGAUAUAUGUAUGCAUGCACUACUAUUCAAAAGUUUAGGGUCGGUAAGAUUUUUUAAUGGUUUUGAAAGAAGCCUCUUAUGCUCAUCAAGACUCAAACACAGGAAAGACAGCAAUAUUGUGAAAUAUUAUUACAAUUUAAAAUAACUGUUUUAUAUUUUAUUUUUAAAUAAAAUGUAUUCCCUUGAUGUGCCAGUCUUCAGUGUCACAUAAUCCUUUAGAAAACAUUCUAAAAUGCUGAUUUGAUCAGUGUUGAAAACUGAUGCACUUUUUAAUAUUCUUUGAUGAAUAGAAAAUUCAAAGGAACAGAUUUUAAUAGUUUUUUUAAACAAUGUAAAAGUCUCUAGAAAAGUAUUAAUUUCUUAAUAAAACAUCCAACUAACUUUUGAACUGUAGUGUAAAU